This 207-nucleotide unclassified non-coding RNA is filed under the name Hevea brasiliensis (rubber tree). Lineage: Eukaryota; Viridiplantae; Streptophyta; Magnoliopsida; Malpighiales; Euphorbiaceae. The record is from RNAcentral.
GAGCUUCUCUUCAACUGGUUAUUGACCAGCUGAACAAACAAGAAAAAGCGUUGAUGCAAGCAUUUACCGGUACGACCGACCGCACAGAUAAAGUCUUUACAAUAUUGGUAGAACCCGGCAGUGAUACACAAGAACAGGUUGCCGCUCGUUUCUCCACCCAGUUAGGAGUACUUCCGACCAACAAUCUGGCUGGUGACCCGAUUUAUG